Molecule: non-coding RNA, 768 nt
Organism: Sturnus vulgaris (Common starling)
Lineage: Eukaryota; Metazoa; Chordata; Aves; Passeriformes; Sturnidae
Source: RefSeq, a predicted model, not a curated record
CAUAUUGCCUGGUUCUGCAUCCCUCUCCCUGUAAACUGAUAAUGUGCUUUCCUAGGUUUACUGAAGUCCAGUUGUGACAGGCAGCUUGAGUUUAAAAUUUAAUCCAGUGAAGAACAAGUGAUUGUGACAGAGAAUGAGCAUGAGUAUGAAACCUGAAACAGAAAGCAGAGGAAAGAUCCCUUCUGCUGCUGCUCAUCCUUAGGCUCGCCCUGCAGGCACCGCACCCAAAGAGUUGGAGCUGGCCUUGGGCAUACAGGAGUGUCUUCAAAAAUAUUGCAAUUUAGUCUCUAUACCUCAGACAGGCAGCAAGAAUGACAACAAUAAUAAUAAAUCACCAUAUUUCAAAGUCAAGAGAAAAAACUAGGUCUUUAAGAUUUUAGUCACUGUCUUAAUAACUUGUACUUAUUAAAAUUCAUAGACAUUUCAGUGAGAUCACAAAUUCACUCAAUUUUUGAAAAUCAGCAGCCAGUCAAGUCCUGAGACAAUGCUUUAUGCUCGCAAAAAGUCUGACAGAAAUUUUUAAAAAGUGCUUGCAUUUUUCAGUAUUAGUUGCUAUCAAUUCCACUUCUGAAUCCAAACAAGCAUGUGUGCACACAUGCAUGCACGGAUAUACAACUUACAACUUUUUCCUUAUAAUGGUUUCUUUCUUCCCUCCCACAAAAAAAAAAAAAAAAAAAAAGUAUUAAAAAAGAGCUUGUAUUGUUUCACCAAUGCAGAAUGUUAGUAAACUCUGAAUUGGUUCAUUCUUGGUAAAGUCUAUGAAAACCC